UACGGGGGGGGCAAGCGUUGUUCGGAAUUACUGGGCGUAAAGCGUGCGCAGGCGGUUUUGUAAGCCAGAUGUGAAAUCCCCGGGCUUAACCUGGGAAUGGCAUUUGGGACUGCAAGGCUGGAGUGUGGCAGAGGAGACUGGAAUUCCCGGUGUAGCAGUGAAAUGCGUAGAUAUCGGGAGGAAUACCGAUGGCGAAGGCAGGUCUCUGGGCUGACACUGACGCUCAUGCACGAAAGCGUGGGGAGCAAACAGG
RNAcentral lists this ribosomal RNA (253 nucleotides) under uncultured bacterium. Its description in RNAcentral is "partial 16S ribosomal RNA". It matches the Rfam family "Bacterial small subunit ribosomal RNA", at positions 524 to 776 of the family's 1533-position model. The record is from RNAcentral.